ACUCCUACGGGAGGCAGCAGUGGGGAAUAUUGGGCAAUGGGCGCAAGCCUGACCCAGCAAUGCCGCGUGGGUGAAGAAGGUCUUCGGAUUGUAAAGCCCUUUCGGCGGGGACGAUGGUGACGGUACCCGCAGAAGAAGCCCCGGCCAACUUCGUGCCAGCAGCCGCGGUAAUACGUAGGGUGCGAGCGUUGUCCGGAAUUAUUGGGCGUAAAGAGCUUGUAGGCGGUUUGUCGCGUCUGCUGUGAAGAUCCGGGGCUCAACCCCGGACUUGCAGUGGGUACGGGCAGACUAGAGUGUGGUAGGGGAGACUGGAAUUCCUGGUGUAGCGGUGAAAUGCGCAGAUAUCAGGAGGAACACCGAUGGCGAAGGCAGGUCUCUGGGCCACUACUGACGCUGAGAAGCGAAAGCAUGGGGAGCGAACAGGAUUAGAUGCCCUGGUAG
This 441-nucleotide ribosomal RNA is filed under the name uncultured Actinomycetes bacterium. RNAcentral describes it as "bacterial SSU rRNA". It matches the Rfam family "Bacterial small subunit ribosomal RNA", at positions 335 to 793 of the family's 1533-position model. Lineage: Bacteria; Bacillati; Actinomycetota; Actinomycetes. The record is from RNAcentral.